GACGAACGCUGGCGGCGUGCUUAACACAUGCAAGUCGAACGGACAGGCCCUGAGUUUGUGGGGUGCUCGAGUGGCGCAGGGGUGAGUAAAACGUGAGUAAAAUGCCCUUGACUUUGGGGUAACUUCAGGAAACUGGGGCUAAUACAGGAUAGGAGAUCCUGCUGCACGGUGGGGGAUGGAAAGUUUCGGCGGUUGGGGAUGGACUCGCGGCUUAUCCGCUUGUUGGUGGGGUAGUGGCUUACCAAGGCUUUGACGGGUAGCCGGCCUGAGAGGGUGACCGGCCACAUGGGUCCUGAGGUACGGCCCAGACUCCUACGGGAGGCAGCAGGCGGGAAUAUUGCACAAUGGGCGGAAGCCUGAUGCAGCGACGCCCCGUGCGGGAUGACGUCCUUUUGGUUGUAAACCGCUUUCGCCUGAGACGAAGCGUGAGUGACGGUAAUUGGUAAAGAAGCACCGGCUAACUACGUG
Molecule: ribosomal RNA, 468 nt
Filed under: uncultured bacterium
Lineage: Bacteria
Description: partial 16S ribosomal RNA
Rfam family: Bacterial small subunit ribosomal RNA
Source: RNAcentral